RNAcentral lists this signal recognition particle RNA (299 nucleotides) under Trichuris muris. RNAcentral describes it as "snRNA TMUE_0100000156". It matches the Rfam family "Metazoan signal recognition particle RNA". Rfam says of the family: The signal recognition particle (SRP) is a universally conserved ribonucleoprotein. The record is from RNAcentral. Lineage: Eukaryota; Metazoa; Nematoda; Enoplea; Trichinellida; Trichuridae.
GCUGGGCAGAGUGGUGAACGCUUGUAAUCCAGCUACUUGGAGGCUUGGCAUUGAGGAUGACUUGGGGCAAGGAGUCCUGUAGUGGAACGGAUCAUGCCGACUGAGCGUCCAGGUCAAGAGCGGCGUCAAUAUGGUAACCAUUGAGGAGUUAGUGGUAACCAGGUUAGUCAAAGAGGGACGAUACCGGCUGAGGGCGGAAACGCAGCAGGCAAAAGUCUCCGCGUCAUUACAGUGAUCAGAUAGCGCUUGUGAAUGGUCUGUCCGUUGCUGCCUUGCCAGAAUAGUCCGACUUGAUCCUU